GACGGAGGGUGCAAGCGUUAAUCGGAAUUAUUGGGCGUAAAGGGCGCGUAGGCGGUUUUGUAAGUAGGCUGUGAAAUCUCUGGGCUUAACCCAGAAACUGCAGUCUAGACUACAUGGCUAGAGAUCAGUAGAGGGAGGUGGAAUUCCUGGUGUAGCAGUGAAAUGCGUAGAGAUCAGGAAGAACACCAGUGGCGAAGGCGGCCUCCUGGGCCGACACUGACACUGAGAGACGAAAGCUAGGGGAGCGAAUGGG
Molecule: ribosomal RNA, 253 nt
Filed under: uncultured bacterium
Lineage: Bacteria
Description: partial 16S ribosomal RNA
Rfam family: Bacterial small subunit ribosomal RNA
Source: RNAcentral